RNAcentral lists this ribosomal RNA (477 nucleotides) under uncultured bacterium. RNAcentral's name for it is "bacterial SSU rRNA". It matches the Rfam family "Bacterial small subunit ribosomal RNA", at positions 28 to 505 of the family's 1533-position model. The record is from RNAcentral.
GAUGAACGCUAGCGGCAGGCUUAACACAUGCAAGUCGAGGGGUAGGAGCAGCUUGCUGCUUUGAGACCGGCGCACGGGUGCGUAACGCGUAUACAAUCUACCUUUUACAGAGGGAUAGCCCAGAGAAAUUUGGAUUAAUACCUCAUAGUAUUUUCGAAUGGCAUCAUUUGAUUAUUAAAGUUCCAACGGUAAAGAUGAGUAUGCGUCCCAUUAGCUAGAUGGUAAGGUAACGGCUUACCAUGGCAACGAUGGGUAGGGGUCCUGAGAGGGAGAUCCCCCACACUGGUACUGAGACACGGACCAGACUCCUACGGGAGGCAGCAGUGAGGAAUAUUGGACAAUGGGCGCAAGCCUGAUCCAGCCAUGCCGCGUGCAGGAAGACGGUCCUAUGGAUUGUAAACUGCUUUAUACAGGAAGAAACACCUCUACGUGUAGAGACUUGACGGUACUGUAUGAAUAAAGCAUCGGCUAACUCCG